RNAcentral lists this ribosomal RNA (397 nucleotides) under uncultured bacterium. RNAcentral describes it as "partial 16S ribosomal RNA". It matches the Rfam family "Bacterial small subunit ribosomal RNA", at positions 523 to 918 of the family's 1533-position model. The record is from RNAcentral.
AUACGUAGGUGACAAGCGUUAUCCGGAUUUACUGGGCGUAAAGGGCGUGUAGGCGGUCUUGCAAGUCAGAAGUGAAAUUCCUGAGCUCAACUCGGGCGCUGCUUCUGAAACUGCAGGACUUGAGUGCUGGAGGGGAUAGCGGAAUUCCUAGUGGAGCGGUAAAAUGCGCAGGUAUUAGGAAGAACACCGGUGGCGAAGGCGGCUAUCUGGACAGUAACGGAGGCUGAGGCGCGAAAGCGUGGGGAGAAAAAAGGAUUAGAUACCCUGGUACUCCACGCCGUAAACGAUGAAUACUAGGUGUAGGGGGUAUCGACUCCCUCUGUGCCGCAGUUAACACAAUAAGUAUUCCGCCUGGGGAGUACGGCCGCAAGGUUGAAACUCAAAUGAAUUGACGGGG